GGAACCUAAGAACUGGAAGACGACGAAGAAGAAGCGUGGGAAUCCGGCGGCAAUGGCUGGGAUGACUGAACUUACGGGAAGGAGUGCUUCCAAGAUGGGAGACGAAGAAGAAGAAGCCGCUGAAUCCGGCGGCAAUGGCUGGGAUGCUGCGUUCUCGAGAAGAAGCGUUAUUUCUGCAUUCCAAGAAGGACGGCACAAUGUGUCGGACUGUCCGCGUCGCAUUGAACUGGUCCGAUGAGGCUGCUAUUGCACACACAUUGAGGGAACUCCCAUACGGGAACUCGGAAGUAC
Sycon ciliatum is the source of this 291-nucleotide long non-coding RNA. RefSeq lists it as uncharacterized. Lineage: Eukaryota; Metazoa; Porifera; Calcarea; Leucosolenida; Sycettidae. The transcript is spliced from 4 exons. The record is from RefSeq and is a predicted model, not a curated record.